RNAcentral lists this ribosomal RNA (448 nucleotides) under uncultured bacterium. Its description in RNAcentral is "bacterial SSU rRNA". It matches the Rfam family "Bacterial small subunit ribosomal RNA", at positions 330 to 792 of the family's 1533-position model. The record is from RNAcentral.
GCCAGACUCCUACGGGAGGCAGCAGUGGGGAAUAUUGGGCAAUGGAGGAAACUCUUACCCAGCAAUGCCGCGUGAAUGAAGAAGGUCUUCGGAUUGUAAAGUUCUUUAAUUGGGGACGAAAAAAAUGACGGUACCCAAGGAAUAAGCCCCGGCUAACUACGUGCCAGCAGCCGCGGUAAUACGUAGGGGGCAAGCGUUAUCCGGAUUUACUGGGUGUAAAGGGAGCGUAGACGGCAAUACAAGUCGGAAGUGAAAUACCCGGGCUCAACCUGGGAACUGCUUUGGAAACUGUAUGGCUGGAGUGCUGGAGAGGUAAGCGGAAUUCCUAGCGUAGCGGUGAAAUGCGUAGAUAUUAGGAGGAACACCAGUGGCGAAGGCGGCUUACUGGACAGUAACUGACGUUGAGGCUCGAAAGCGUGGGGAGCAAACAGGAUUAGAUACCCCAGUA